CGAACGCUGGCGGCAGGCCUAACACAUGCAAGUCGAACGGUAGCACAGAGAGCUUGCUCUCGGGUGACGAGUGGCGGACGGGUGAGUAAUGUCUGGGAAACUGCCUGAUGGAGGGGGAUAACUACUGGAAACGGUAGCUAAUACCGCAUAACGUCGCAAGACCAAAGAGGGGGACCUUCGGGCCUCUUGCCAUCAGAUGUGCCCAGAUGGGAUUAGCUAGUAGGUGGGGUAACGGCUCACCUAGGCGACGAUCCCUAGCUGGUCUGAGAGGAUGACCAGCCACACUGGAACUGAGACACGUGCC
This 304-nucleotide ribosomal RNA is filed under the name uncultured Klebsiella sp. RNAcentral's name for it is "bacterial SSU rRNA". It matches the Rfam family "Bacterial small subunit ribosomal RNA", at positions 30 to 332 of the family's 1533-position model. Lineage: Bacteria; Pseudomonadati; Pseudomonadota; Gammaproteobacteria; Enterobacterales; Enterobacteriaceae. The record is from RNAcentral.